AUCAGACACCAUGCCACCAAUACCUGGAGGAACAACCACAACAUCAGACACCAUUUCAACAAUACUGUACAUACAAAGACAUGGGACUGCAACACACUACCAUUAUAUCUCUUACAGCGGUGUCACGUUAAGCAGGCAGCAACGGACUGAAUGCAGAUAGAAAGGCAACGAAUAGAGCAGAAGUGAUUUGUUAUUCUAUGAGGGGGGAGAAACUGAAUUGGUUUGUAGUGUAGAUUAUGUGUGGUGUGUAUUGUGUGUAGGUAGCGUGUUACAGGCAAGGCUAUAUGUCUGUGUGAUUUAGUGUCCAUGGUAACCCAGAAUAGACAGAUCACCUUCAUCUUUCUUCUCCUCCUUAGCUCCUCCUCCGAUCAUCUCUCCCACCUUCUCCUUCACCACAACAGCUAGACAGAGGGAGAGAGGGGGGCUGUCAAACAUGCACUCGCACCUUCUGGCUCCACAUGAUGAGAUAAUUGGUGGAUUUUUCUCUUGUUAUGUCUUGUUAGGGAGCUUGUAUCAGCAAGAACUGUCAUGACGGGAUGCCACAGAAUCUUUGUAUAUUUUUCCAUUUCUAGUAGAAAUUAGCUCCUCUACUUUGAAAUCUAGACAAACCCAAAUAACUAAUUUUAGAAGUAUGAGCAGUGCCAAAAAGUACAGAGCCAAGUUUUUCAAAAAUGAAAAUAUUUGGUGUAAGAAUGUUGUUGACUCAUCAACUGCAGCGCCGUUUAAAAUUCCAAAGCCCAGUUUGAACAUUUUGAAGGCUGAUAACACAAAAAUGAACACUAAAUUAAAGCUAAACUAUACAUUAGUCUAUAUAACAACCCAUUUUGCUGUGCUUUAGGGUUUAAACUUAUCAAUGCUUCACAUGAAUGACCCCCAUCAUUCAACCAAGUAAACACACCAUUAUCCACUUUUCUUACACAUAUCUUUUUCUCACCUGCUUUGUCGAUCACUGCAUCCACCUGCUUCCCAGAUCCUUUCAGAAAGUCCAUCUCUGUGUGUGUUCUGUACUCGGCCGGAGUGUGUGUGUGAGAGAGUGUGUUUGGAUGGGUGUGUGGUGUGGGUGUGCAUGGGUUUAUAUGAGGUUGGCAGAGAGGCUUACAGAGGCCACCCCUCCAUCACACACCCCUGUGAAGUCACACACACCCCUAAGGAUGCAGGCCGCUUUUAUUGUUGGUGUCAGUAUGGAAAAACCCAGCAGUGGAACUGUAAAUACCGAAGAGGGAGAGAGGCUUCAUAACUUUAUUACGACCCUCAAUUAAACAUUGUUAGAACAAAUAUGAUAUACAGAUACAUGCAACACAUAGGCACACAACCCUUAUUCAGGUCAUAAUUAUCCAUUAUGUGAAGAUGCACAUAAUAUAGUACAUUAUUACAGAUGUAGGAUCUUAAUUUGAUCGCCCUGUUGCAGGAGAACUUUGCUGCAAUGCAGGGCAUUUUUUACCUGUAGUGUACUUGAGGUUUGAAAACGCUUCUGAAGUUUGUAAUUUCCACUUAGAAAUUUCAGUCUUGAUUUCCCCAUUGUCGUUAAUUAUAAUAAUCCACAUAAUAAUUCACCUUUCUUUUGGACUUUGUAGCAUUCCCAGAAAGCAUGGAUUAGUGAGUCAAUGCUAUAAAGUCCAAAAGUUAUGGGUGGAGCUAGAAAGUUCGCUGUCAGAUGUAUUACAAUGUAAACGUACUUUUAAUCCGUCUGCCUGCAUAUUUUAAGACAUAGCGAAUAGGAGUGUAGUGAGAUUCCCAACGGGCUGGACGAUUCUCUUCUCAUCACUCAUCUAGAAAAAAAACGUAUACUAAUGACCUGGAUAUCAAUCAAUCCUCCAUCAUUAACACAAUAGAAAAAAUCGAAUGAUUUAUUAUUGAAAUAGCAUGGGCAACUGAGAAAAACUAAUUGGGACAAUUUAAGGCCAUAUGGCAAACAAUAAUGCAAGCAGUAGGGAUGGGGGUGUGAGCAUGUGGGUCUGGGCAGAUGAGAUGUAAUCGUUGUUCGUGUGCAUCUGUAAGUUGUUGUUCGUGUGUUUAUGUUUUUAACUGGUUAAUAACAUUUUUUAUAAAAAACAGUAUAGUAAAGUAUAAAAAAUUAUUAUAAUAAUUAUUAUAAUAAUUCACAUUUCCUGUUGCUUCAGGAUUAUUUUCAUGUUGUAGCAAACUGGCUCAAAUUAAGAUCCUACAUCUGUAGAUGUAUGGGAAACAGGAAAUACUGGAUGUGAUGUCCUGAAAGGUCACCAAGCUUUCUGACUCACUGUCAAAACACUGCUAUAAAAGCAGACACAAAGACACAACAUUUGACAUAGCACGCACUCCUUCUUAUGACAGCCCUCUCUCAUUGUGUUGUUGGCCCUAGAUUGCUGCUCUGUGUUUGUGUGGAUUCCUUAGGAGUGUUGGCUGUGUGUGUGUGUCUCCAUUCAACCCUUGGAAAGACACUCCUCUGUUUCAAUGUGUUCUGGCAUUGGAUCAGAGAGUGUGUGUAGAGCAGUUUGGAAAUCUCGUGGUUAGAAUGGAACAUUGGGCUGGUGAUAUGUCGUCCCGAAGGAUCAUUUAAAACACUAAGACUGGGAGUUCUAGAACACUGACGCAAGAGGUUCUAGGUUGACUUUUUGUUUUCUUCCUGACCUCUCUUGAACCCUUUCACAAGUAUCGUCAUUGUGUUGAAGGGAGGACCAAUACGCAGCGGGAAUGUGGAUACUCAUCUUUUUAAUCAAACACGAGAAAAGCAUCCACAGGGAAAAAACAAUAAACAUUACUCACGACGGCAACAGUGUAGCAGGCUAUACAAACGCAGUGCUCACAAACAAUUACCCACAAACACACAGACAAACACACCCUACUAAUAUAGGACUCCCAAUCAAAGGCAACUCAACACACCUGCCUUCAAUUGGGAGUCCCACCCCAAUUAACUAUACAUAGAAAACCAAAGCUAGACAGAACGUAGACACACAUACCAAAACACAAAAACCUCUGCCACGCCCUGACCAAAACUAAUACAAUUACUCCCUCUGCUGGUCAGGACGUGACAACCCCUCUGUCUCCCUGUAAGCUCCCAGCAUGCCGAUGGAGGUAGUGUCCUCAUAGUGUACCUGUAGAGGAGAACAAAGAGCCUGGCUAAACCCCUGUGAGUGCACACGCACGCACGCACGCUCGCACACACAGAAAACAUUGCUAAGACUGGCAGAGGGCAUAGAAAAAUAUCCAGGAUGGUACCACAAUAUCUCCAUGGUAACAUA
Molecule: long non-coding RNA, 3218 nt
Filed under: Salmo salar (Atlantic salmon)
Lineage: Eukaryota; Metazoa; Chordata; Actinopteri; Salmoniformes; Salmonidae
Description: lncRNA (ENSSSAG00000099912.1)
Source: RNAcentral